Stomoxys calcitrans (stable fly) is the source of this 1262-nucleotide long non-coding RNA. RefSeq lists it as uncharacterized. The record is from RefSeq and is a predicted model, not a curated record. The transcript is spliced from 3 exons. NCBI's taxonomy places the organism in Eukaryota, Metazoa, Arthropoda, Insecta, Diptera, Muscidae.
AUACAAAGGGGCGUCGAUGAGUAUUCUUAUUUUGGUUACUGGCUUCAUCGAAUUGCUCAUACCCCCAAACCUGUGCAACAUACGAUUGUACCGAUCUGCAAACCGCUGAAUAUAUGUUCCAUAUCGAAAUCAAUCGUAUGUCUUUUCUCCCUAAGAAGUCUCUCCAUGUUGAGUUUAUAGCAUUUGUAUCCUUGAAAGUCAAUAUUUCAUACCAUUUUUGACUGCCAGAGGAAUAAGUGUACUGCACAUCACAUACACAAUAUUAUCGAGCGUACAAUGUGUGAGGUUAAAUCUAAAGGCAAGGAGUUAAAUAGGCCUCAUUAACGCGUUUUUCCAAAAUUUUCCCUCGAACAUGCCAUUAGGAAAUGGGGAAGUUAGUUAUCUUACAUCACUGAUAAGUCCUACCUACUGAUAAGUCCAGUAGGUUUGUCGCAAAUCGACAUUAUAAAGUGGACAAAUUGUACACGGCAAGAUACUUUUCUGAAAAAAAAAAAAAAAUAUUUUAAACUUGUCAUAUGUGACCCGGUGGACUUCAGUGAGGCUUUAAACCUAACCCCGACAAUAGCGGCGAAGAGGAUAAGGCAAAACGAAUUCCGACUUGUCAGAUUAAGGUCUGCGUAGCUGUAACCCGGCUGAAGAACAAAAUAACAGCAGAAAUCUGUGGGUUGUUGGCUGAACUAUUUCAGUUCGGAGGCGACACGCAGACAAGGGGUAUGCAACAGAUCACCUGAUGAUUGAACCGUCUGUUAUGUUCAGUAAACAAGAACGGAGAGAACACAGAGGACUAAAUCAAUUAAGAUUCAAUGCUGAUUUAAAUCAGGUAAAUCCACCAUAGACCAGAUGUUCUGCGCCAAAUUUUAGAAAAACCAAAGAGUAGAAAAUCUGCAUUUACCACCUUAUCGUCGACUUCAACACCCCUAUGUUCAAAGAAUGACGCUUCCUCAGUGAAUGUAGAAUAGAACUUCAACGAACCAUUCAACACCAAACGAGGUUUCAGACAGGGAGAAGCCUUAUCGUGUGAUCUUUUUAAUAUCCUGCUAGAUGAAAUUAUGUAAGAUGCUGGUAUAAAAAGGCAUGGCGAACUUGACGAACAACGCAUGCUGCUGGAAUGUAUCGACAACAUAGAAAUUAUAGUUUGAAAUCCAGAAACAGCAACUGCCGCCUUUGAAAAGGUCUAUAAAGAGUCGGUUCGAGUGGACUCGAAAAAAAUAACUAUAAGAAAGUCAGCAAUUUUUACUACCUCAACUGCGCCGUAAACGAAA